AUUUGUAUUAGCUAGUGGAUAAACUAUUAGUCAUUAGGAUCAGCUCGUAUUAGUUAGUUUAUGAUAUAAUGUUAGUAUUAGUUCUUUAGAAUGUUUCAAUAUGCUUUUGGUAUUUUUAUUUUCCAGCAAAGUUAGUCGAUUAACUAAUAAAAUCGACUAUCUAAUACUUUGUAUUAAAACUGGAAUUUCCGCAAGCUAAGAUAUUCGAAUAUCUGAUUUAGAUAUGCGAAUAACCUGAUUUAGUUAUUCGAAUAACCUGAUUUAUUUAUUCGAAUAACCUGAUGACUGUUUACUAAGUUAGUCGAAUAACUAAUUAGUUAUUCGACUAACCAAUAUUUCGCAUUAAAACUGGAUUUUUUCGCANNN
RNAcentral lists this long non-coding RNA (366 nucleotides) under Nicotiana benthamiana. RNAcentral's name for it is "long non-coding RNA (NBEN_LNC008800)". Lineage: Eukaryota; Viridiplantae; Streptophyta; Magnoliopsida; Solanales; Solanaceae. The record is from RNAcentral.